CUUUAAAGGAUAAAAGUCAUCCAC
Molecule: transfer RNA, 24 nt
Filed under: Elgaria kingii
Lineage: Eukaryota; Metazoa; Chordata; Lepidosauria; Squamata; Anguidae
Description: partial tRNA-Leu
Source: RNAcentral